CGUGUAGGCGGUUUGGCAAGUCGAGUGUGAAAUCCCACGGCUCAACCGUGGAACUGCGCUCGAAACUGCCUUACUUGAGUGCGGGAGAGGUGUGCGGAAUUCCUGGUGUAGCGGUGGAAUGCGUAGAUAUCAGGAAGAACACCGGUGGCGAAGGCGUCCAUCUGGCCCAAUACUGACGCUGAGGCGCGAAAGCUAGGGGAGCAAACG
This 207-nucleotide ribosomal RNA is filed under the name uncultured bacterium. RNAcentral describes it as "partial 16S ribosomal RNA". It matches the Rfam family "Bacterial small subunit ribosomal RNA", at positions 568 to 774 of the family's 1533-position model. The record is from RNAcentral.